RNAcentral lists this ribosomal RNA (396 nucleotides) under uncultured bacterium. RNAcentral's name for it is "bacterial SSU rRNA". It matches the Rfam family "Bacterial small subunit ribosomal RNA", at positions 505 to 898 of the family's 1533-position model. The record is from RNAcentral.
GUGUCAGCCGCCGCGGUAAGACGUAGGAGGCGAGCGUUGUCCGGAUUCAUUGGGCGUAAAGAGCGCGCAGGCGGCUUGGUAAGUCGGAUGUGAAAUCCCGAGGCUCAACCUCGGGUCUGCAUCCGAUACUGCCCGGCUAGAGGUAGGUAGGGGAGAUCGGAAUUCCUGGUGUAGCGGUGAAAUGCGCAGAUAUCAGGAGGAACACCGGUGGCGAAGGCGGAUCUCUGGGCCUUACCUGACGCUCAGGCGCGAAAGCUAGGGGAGCGAACUGGAUUAGAUACCCAGGUAGUCCUAGCCGUAAACGUUGGGUGCUAGGUGUGGGCGGACAUCGACCCCGUCCGUGCCGAAGCUAACGCAUUAAGCACCCCGCCUGGGGAGUACGGCCGCAAGGCUAAA